GACGAACGCUGGCGGCGUGCUUCACACAUGCAAGUCGAACGGAAAGGCCCUGCGUUUGUGGGGUGCUCGAGUGGCGAACGGGUGAGUAACACGUGAGUAACCUGCCCUUGACUUUGGGAUAACUUCAGGAAACUGGGGCUAAUACCGGAUAGGAGCUCCUGCUGCAUGGUGGGGGUUGGAAAGUUUCGGCGGUUGGGGAUGGACUCGCGGCUUAUCAGCUUGUUGGUGGGGUAGUGGCUUACCAAGGCUUUGACGGGUAGCCGGCAUGAGAGGGUGACAGGCCACAUUGGGACUGGGAGACGGACAAGACUCCUACGGGAGGCAGCAGUGGGGAAUAUUGCACAAUGGGAGGAAGCAUGAUGCAGCAACGCCGCGUGCGGGAUGACGGCCUUCGGGUUGUAAACCGCUUUCGCCUGUGACGAAGCGUGAGUGACGGUAAUGGGUAAAGAAGCACCGGCUAACUACGUG
RNAcentral lists this ribosomal RNA (468 nucleotides) under uncultured bacterium. RNAcentral's name for it is "partial 16S ribosomal RNA". It matches the Rfam family "Bacterial small subunit ribosomal RNA", at positions 28 to 507 of the family's 1533-position model. The record is from RNAcentral.